RNAcentral lists this ribosomal RNA (425 nucleotides) under uncultured bacterium. Its description in RNAcentral is "bacterial SSU rRNA". It matches the Rfam family "Bacterial small subunit ribosomal RNA", at positions 28 to 452 of the family's 1533-position model. The record is from RNAcentral.
GAUGAACGCUGGCGGCGUGCUUAACACAUGCAAGUCGAACGGGAUCCCAGGAGCUUGCUCCUGGGUGAGAGUGGCGAACGGGUGAGUAAUGCGUGACCGACCUGCCCCAUACACCGGAAUAGCUCCUGGAAACGGGUGGUAAUGCCGGAUGCUCCAGUUGACCGCAUGGUCCUCUGGGAAAGCUUUUGCGGUAUGGGAUGGGGUCGCGUCCUAUCAGCUUGAUGGCGGGGUAACGGCCCACCAUGGCUUCGACGGGUAGCCGGCCUGAGAGGGCGACCGGCCACAUUGGGACUGAGAUACGGCCCAGACUCCUACGGGAGGCAGCAGUGGGGAAUAUUGCACAAUGGGCGCAAGCCUGAUGCAGCGACGCCGCGUGCGGGAUGACGGCCUUCGGGUUGUAGACCGCUUUUGACUGGGAGCAAGCC